Molecule: unclassified non-coding RNA, 378 nt
Filed under: uncultured Parachlamydiaceae bacterium
Lineage: Bacteria; Pseudomonadati; Chlamydiota; Chlamydiia; Parachlamydiales; Parachlamydiaceae
Description: contains 16S-23S intergenic spacer region
Source: RNAcentral
UCCUGGUUAACCCAGGCAGUCUCACUAGAGUUCCCACCAUUACGUGUUGGCAACUAGUGAUAAGGGUUGCGCUCGUUGCUGGACUUAACCAAACACCUCACGGCACGAGCUGACGACAGCCAUGCAGCACCUGUGCAGCGGCUCCGAAGAGAGGCAGCAUCUCUGCUGCUGUCCACUGCAUGUCAAGUCUGGGUAAGGUUCUUCGCGUUGCAUCGAAUUAAACCACAUGCUCCACUGCUUGUGCGGGUCCCCGUCAAUUCUUUUGAGUUUCACCCUUGCGAGCGUACUCCCCAGGCGGUAUACUUAUCGCGUUAGCUACGGCACAACUAGGGUUGAGUCCAGUUACACCAAGUAUACAUCGUUUACAGUAAGGACUAC